ACGUAGGCAGCGAGCGUUGUUCGGAGUUACUGGGCGUAAAGCGUGCGUAGGCGGUGGUCCAAGUCUGGUGUGAAAUCUCCCGGCUCAACUGGGAGGGUGCGCCGAAGACUGCGAUGCUGGAGUAUGGGAGAGGAAAGCGGAAUUCCUGGUGUAGCGGUGAAAUGCGUAGAUAUCAGGAGGAACACCUGCGGUGUAGACGGCUUUCUGGACCAUUACUGACACUGAGACACGAAAGCGUGGGUAGCAAACAGGA
RNAcentral lists this ribosomal RNA (253 nucleotides) under uncultured prokaryote. RNAcentral's name for it is "partial 16S ribosomal RNA". It matches the Rfam family "Bacterial small subunit ribosomal RNA", at positions 525 to 777 of the family's 1533-position model. The record is from RNAcentral.